GGCUCUGUUUAGAUAAUGCCGAGGGGAGAGAGAAAGAGUUCGAGUGGCGGAGCAGAGGAGGCAAUUCCUUCUGUUCAUGUCGAUUCCGAGAUAUUCCACCGCUCGAUCUUGAUUUCUCUUCCCUUUCUCUUUGAUCCCUGGCUGCCGCGGUCGGUUGUUCUUGUCUCUCGCCCUCCCCGGUAUGAUUUUGCUUGUGUUGUGGCUGUGUAGCUUCAAAAUCUAGGAUGAGUUUCUUGUUUGGAUCCGUGGCAGGUGCAUGUUGCGGCCAUGUUGUAGUCCGCCAUUUUGCUCCCCUUCUACUUGCCUGAGAUGGGUGAUUUGUUCUGUAAGUCAUCGGGUGUUCUAGGUCAUCUGGUCGUUGUGGUCGUUUUCACCCCUGCUGAUUUGUUUCCUCUGCUGUAGAUGUAGAGGUAGGCGAAGUUGUAGUUGUAGUGGUGGAUUCCCCUGUCCAUUUUAUUUCUGCAGGCCUGGGUGUCUAUUCCGCCUGCAUUUUUAUCGGUAGAUGUAGUUGUAUAUGGCUUGGCCUGGGAUUCUGCUGGCUUAUGCAAUGUGGAUGUAGUAGCUAAUUUGUGUAUCCUUCCUCUGAAUUUGUUUGCCCUUCCUAGUUUGAUUUUGGCCCGGCCCUUUGUGAUGUAGAUGUAGGUGCUAUUUGUUUAAGUUUCCUGCUCUAUUAUGGUUUCUGAAUUGUUGGCUCCUUAUGUGUCUUACCUGCACAUGUUUGCUCUUGUAGUUUCUGAAUCCCUCAUGAAUUUUUCUUGUUAGAUGUAGGUGUUCAGUUUCCCUGGUUCCUGAAUCUCAAUGAAUUAGUGUGUACUAGGCCUGCAGUGCUGAUGUAGUGUUAGUCCAUGGAUUUUUCUUAUUUUUGUCAGUGCAAUAUACCUCAGAAUUACAGUGUAAUGUAUCCCAUAAUUGGAGUGUGAUCCCCAUGCUUCUUUAUUCUAAUUACAGUGUAAUGUACCCUAAAAUUAUAGUGUAUUCUAGCCCAGAUGGCACUGUAUAUGCCUACAAUUGCAUUUUCGUUUACUAACCCCAGAUUUACAGUGUAAUAUACCCCAGAUUUUCACUGUAUUUUGUAUGCUUCAGGACUGUAAUUAUUGCAUGGUUCCCAGUUUUACACUGUAAUUUGCAUGGUACAGCACUGUAAUUGUUGUAGGGCUUUCAGUUUUUGUCAGAUAGAUUACUUUCAAAUGUUUCAUCACUGUAAUAUACCCUAGAUUUUCUCUGUAAUUUAUAUGCUUCAGAACUGUAAUUGUUAUAUGCUUCAGAUAGAUUACAUUGGCUUCUUCGUCUGGGCUUACACUGUAGUAUGCCAUAGUUUUACACUAUAAUUUGUAUGGUUCGACAUUGUAUUUGUUGUAGGUAUUUGCGAGGUAGAUUACAGUGGAUUUUACCUUUGAAUUGGAGGGCUUACACUGUAAUUUACUGCAGAUUUACACUGUAAUUUGAAUGCUUCAACAUUGUAAUUGUUGUACGGCUUACAACGUAUUUGUCACAGUUGAUUUACCUCUGAUUUUGCUGUGUAAUUAGCAUGCUUUUAGGACUGCAAUUCAUGUAUUUUCUUGCUUUUUUAUUUUCUUCUUUUCUUGUGCUAGUGUGUCUCCGUUGCAGUAGUAUUGAGCAGAGGUCCUGUUUUAGGUUGAUGAUUGUUUUUGUGUUCUUUCUAGAUUUGUCUAGUAAAUAGUGUUACAUUAGCUGUUCAUGUGUAUUCUUUAAUGAAGUGUAUGGAGAUUUUGUUCUACUAUUUUACUUCUUUUCUUUUUCCUCCUUCAUGUAUUCUGUUUAUAUGUUUUACUUUAAUGAGUAGGCUACAGAAAGUCUCUCAUCUGGACGUUUGGUUAGUAUCAUCUCUUGACAAUGCAGAUUCUGUGGGUGAACCUAUUGUGCCUAACGACUUUGCGGAAGAUGGUUCUUAUCCUAUGUCUACGGAACUAUCUGGUGAUGAAGGAGGGUUUGACAAAUCUCUUUUGAAGUUCUAUUUGAAUCAAGUGUGUUUUCCUUUUCUUGUACUAUUUUGAUUUUGUUUUGUGUAUUUUCUUUGGGUGGCCCUUGUGUUUUUGUCAUUUCAGAACGUAAAAUGCUUGAAAGGAAAUUAUCAUCUGCUUCCAUGUUCAUAGGCCCAUCUCCUGAGUGUACCUGCAAGCAAAAGGGCAAUUUGUUUUCUAUAGUUGUGCUUUUCUCAGAUUGGUAGCUCUGUGGUAUUUGAAUUUUGCUUUUACUGAAUAUAAUAUCGGAAUGUAGAAGUGCGGUGAUAGAAAAUGUGUCCUGCGACAUAUUUGUUGUGAGCUUUUAUUAUUAUUUAUGUAUUUAGAAUGUUCCUAUAGUGUCUUUCAACAUAUUCUGAAACAAAUGUGUAACUCACAUUUAGAAUGAGUUCUUCCUGAGACAAUCUCAAUAGAUCAUCUUCAGUUGCUGUCUUUAUCAUGCUCCUCAUCUGGCAUAUUUGAACAAAAAAUGCCAGUAUCAACAUAAUAUUGAGCAACAAACCGUUUAGAUAUAGAUGAAUUUUGCUGGGUACUUAAACAGUUGUACUUUAUGUAUUUUUGCUUCCAAUAGUUGGGGUAUUCCAAGUGUAUCCUCGGAACUAACACUGUAAAUUAUAGUGAAGUAGCUCUGAAGUUUUAUUGUAAUUUAUUGGGGUUUUACCGCAUAGCUUCAUCACUGCAAAUCCCUGCAUAAUUUCAUUCUAAUUCCCUGUGUAUUUUUUCUGUAUUCUUCGAGGGUAUUGCACUGUAAGCACUUUCAUCGUAAAGCUUGGGUAUUACAGUGUAAGCCAUGGGUACUUGCUGUGUAAUUACAUUGUAUGUAUAAUGUAUUUUAUAGAGGUUUUACAAUGUAAUUCUUGGUCACUUGCACUGUAAUUACAAGCUUUGGAUUCUUGGGUUUCACACUGUAAUUCCUGCUCAUUUACACUGUAAUUUAGUGUAGUCUCAUCAGUUUUUACAAGUGUAAUUCCUUGUGUGCUUGCAGUGUAAUUACUGUGUAUGUACUAUGUAAUUUAUAGGGGGAUUUACACUGUAAAUCUUGGUCACUUUCAGUGUAACUCUUGGGUAUUUUCAGUGUCAUCCGUUU
Molecule: long non-coding RNA, 3069 nt
Organism: Triticum aestivum (bread wheat)
Lineage: Eukaryota; Viridiplantae; Streptophyta; Magnoliopsida; Poales; Poaceae
Exons: 2
Source: RefSeq, a predicted model, not a curated record